This 27-nucleotide non-coding RNA is filed under the name Cricetulus griseus (Chinese hamster). The record is from RNAcentral. Lineage: Eukaryota; Metazoa; Chordata; Mammalia; Rodentia; Cricetidae.
GCAUGAGGAAGGUUGAGAACCACUGCU